GUCGAGCGGAGAUAAUAGCAAUAUUAUUUUAGCGGCGGACCGGUGAGUAACGCGUGGGUAACCUGCCUUGUACAGGGGGAUAACACAGGGAAACUUGUGCUAAUACCGCAUAACGCAGUGAGGAGACAUCUCCAUACUGCCAAAGGAGUAAUCCGGUAUAAGAUGGACCCGCGUCCGAUUAGCUAGUUGGUGGUGUAACGGACCACCAAGGCGACGAUCGGUAGCCGAACUGAGAGGUUGAUCGGCCACAUUGGGACUGAGACACGGCCCAGACUCCUACGGGAGGCAGCAGUGGG
This 296-nucleotide unclassified non-coding RNA is filed under the name uncultured bacterium. RNAcentral's name for it is "partial contains 16S ribosomal RNA and 16S-23S ribosomal RNA intergenic spacer region". It matches the Rfam family "Bacterial small subunit ribosomal RNA", at positions 61 to 358 of the family's 1533-position model. The record is from RNAcentral.